GAAGAAGUGAAUUAAGGGCAUUUGGUGGAUGCCUUGGCAUGCACAGGCGAAGAAGGACGUGAUACGCUGCGAAAAGCCGUGGGGAGCUGCGAAUAAGCUUUGAUCCAUGGAUCUCCGAAUGGGGCAACCCACCUUAAAUACCUAGAAAAUCUGUUCUGUGGCGAAACGCCUGCGUGGGACUUCCCAUACAGGGCGCUAGCCCGUCGCCGGUUAUCCGGCGCGCCGUCCGCAGGCCUUUGGCCGUGAGGACAGAAGAGGUUUCUAGGUAUUGUGAUAAGGUAUCUUACUUUCGAAUACAUAGGGGUAAGAAGCGAACGCAGGGAACUGAAACAUCUAAGUACCUGCAGGAAAGGACAUCAACCGAGACUCCGCAAGUAGUGGCGAGCGAACGCGGACCAGGCCAGUGGCAAUGAUGAAUAAAGCGGAACGAUUUGGAAAAGUCGGCCAUAGAGGGUGAUAGCCCCUUACGCGUAGAACAGUCAUUGUCCUUGAGUAGGGCGGGACACGUGAAAUCCUGUCUGAACAUGGGGAGACCACUCUCCAAGCCUAAGUACUCGUGCAUGACCGAUAGCGAACAAGUACCGUGAGGGAAAGGUGAAAAGCACCCCGACGAGGGGAGUGAAAUAGAACCUGAAACCGGAUGCCUACAAACAGUCGGAGCCCGCAAGGGUGACGGCGUACCUUUUGUAUAAUGGGUCAACGACUUAGUGUAACUAGCAAGCUUAAGCCGGUAGGUGUAGGCGCAGCGAAAGCGAGUCUGAAUAGGGCGAUUGAGUUAGUUGCAUUAGACCCGAAACCGAGUGAUCUAGCCAUGAGCAGGCUGAAGGUUGGGUAACACCAACUGGAGGGCCGAACCCAUAACUGUUGCAAUAGUUCGGGAUGACUUGUGGCUAGGGGUGAAAGGCCAAUCAAACUCGGAAAUAGCUGGUUCUCCGCGAAAUCUAUUUAGGUAGAGCGUCGACCGAAUACCCUCGGGGGUAGAGCACUGGAUGGGCUAUGGGGACUCACCGUCUUACUGAUCCUAACCAAACUCCGAAUACCGAGGAGUACUAGUCGGCAGACACACGGCGGGUGCUAACGUCCGUCGUGAAAAGGGCAACAACCCUGACCUCCAGCUAAGGUCCCCAAGUCAUGGCUAAGUGGGAAAGGAUGUGAGGAUCCCAAAACAACCAGGAUGUUGGCUUAGAAGCAGCCAUCAUUUAAAGAAAGCGUAACAGCUCACUGGUCUAAAUAAGGGUCUUUGCGCCGAAAAUGUAACGGGGCUAAAGCCAUGCACCGAAGCUGAGGAUUUGCACUUUGUGCAAGUGGUAGCGGAGCGUUCCGUAAGUCUGUGAAGGCGGACCCGUGAGGGCUGCUGGAGAUAUCGGAAGUGCGAAUGUUGACAUGAGUAACGAUAAAGGGAGUGAGAGACUCCCUCGCCGAAAGACCAAGGGUUCCUGCUUAAAGUUAAUCUGAGCAGGGUUAGCCGGCCCCUAAGACGAGGCGGACACGCGUAGUCGAUGGGAACCACGUUAAUAUUCGUGGGCCUGGUGGUAGUGACGGAUCUCGUGUGUUGUUCAACCUUAUUGGAUUGGUUGGGCGGCGAAGAGGUUCCAGGAAAUAGCUCCACCGUAUAGACCGUACCCGAAACCGACACAGGUGGUCAGGUAGAGUAUACCAAGGCGCUUGAGAGAACUAUGUUGAAGGAACUCGGCAAAUUGCACGCGUAACUUCGGAAGAAGCGUGACCCUUUUGUACGCAAGUAUGAUGGGGUGGCACAGACCAGGGGGUAGCGACUGUUUAUCAAAAACACAGGGCUCUGCGAAGUAGCAAUACGACGUAUAGGGUCUGACGCCUGCCCGGUGCUGGAAGGUUAAAGGGAGGGGUGCAAGCUCUGAACUGAAGCCCCAGUAAACGGCGGCCGUAACUAUAACGGUCCUAAGGUAGCGAAAUUCCUUGUCGGGUAAGUUCCGACCUGCACGAAUGGCGUAACGACUUCCCCGCUGUCUCCAACAUAGACUCAGUGAAAUUGAAUUCCCCGUGAAGAUGCGGGGUUCCUGCGGUCAGACGGAAAGACCCCGUGC
This 2063-nucleotide ribosomal RNA is filed under the name Agrobacterium sp. TS43. RNAcentral describes it as "bacterial LSU rRNA". It matches the Rfam family "Bacterial large subunit ribosomal RNA", at positions 1 to 2096 of the family's 2925-position model. The record is from RNAcentral. Lineage: Bacteria; Pseudomonadati; Pseudomonadota; Alphaproteobacteria; Hyphomicrobiales; Rhizobiaceae.